AAGUCGUAACAAGGUUUCCGUAGGUGAACCUGCGGAAGGAUCAUUAACGAAUAACUAUGGUGUCUUGGUUGUAGCUGGCUCCUCGGAGCAAUGUGCACGCCCGCCAUUAUUAUCUUUCCACCUGUGCACCGACUGUAGGUCUGGAUGACUCUCGUACUCCGGUGCGGAUGCGAGGAUUGCUCUCGGGCUCUCCUCGAAUUUCCAGACUCUACGUCUUUUUACACACCCCAAACGUAUGAUACAGAAUGUAGUCAAUGGGCUUGAUCGCCUAUAAAACACUAUACAACUUUCAGCAACGGAUCUCUUGGCUCUC
RNAcentral lists this unclassified non-coding RNA (313 nucleotides) under Coprinellus micaceus. RNAcentral describes it as "partial internal transcribed spacer region". The stretch from base 1 to 46 matches the Rfam family "Eukaryotic small subunit ribosomal RNA", at positions 1786 to 1831 of the family's 1831-position model. Lineage: Eukaryota; Fungi; Basidiomycota; Agaricomycetes; Agaricales; Psathyrellaceae. The record is from RNAcentral.